This 581-nucleotide ribosomal RNA is filed under the name Myxococcus sp. Its description in RNAcentral is "bacterial SSU rRNA". It matches the Rfam family "Bacterial small subunit ribosomal RNA", at positions 56 to 618 of the family's 1533-position model. Lineage: Bacteria; Pseudomonadati; Myxococcota; Myxococcia; Myxococcales; Myxococcaceae. The record is from RNAcentral.
UGCAGUCGAGCGCGAAUAGGGGCAACCCUUAGUAGAGCGGCGCACGGGUGCGUAACACGUGGAUAAUCUGCCUGGAUGCUCGGGAUAACCAGUCGAAAGAUUGGCUAAUACCGGAUAAGCCCACGGUUUCUUCGGAGACUGAGGGAAAAGGUGGCCUCUGUAUACAAGCUAUCACAACCAGAUGAGUCCGCGGCCCAUCAGCUAGUUGGCGGGGUAAUGGCCCACCAAGGCGACGACGGGUAGCUGGUCUGAGAGGACGAUCAGCCACACUGGAACUGAGACACGGUCCAGACUCCUACGGGAGGCAGCAGUGGGGAAUUUUGCGCAAUGGGCGAAAGCCUGACGCAGCAACGCCGCGUGUGUGAUGAAGGUCUUCGGAUUGUAAAGCACUUUCGACCGGGACGAAAACCCGUAGCCCAAUACGCUACGGCUUGACGGUACCGGGAGAAGAAGCACCGGCUAACUCUGUGCCAGCAGCCGCGGUAAUACAGAGGGUGCAAGCGUUGUUCGGAAUUAUUGGGCGUAAAGCGCGUGUAGGCGGCGUGACAAGUCGGGUGUGAAAGCCCUCAGCUCAACUGAGG